ACCUGCCGCUGAAUAUAUAGGCGGUGUGGAGGGAACGUGGGGAAGUGAAACAUCUCAGUACCCACAGGAAGAGAAAACAAUUGUGAUUCCGUGAGUAGUGGCGAGCGAAAGCGGAUGAGGCUAAACCGUUCAGAUGUGAUACCCGGCAGGGGUUGUCUGGACGGGGUAGUGGGGCCCAUUUUCCUAUCACUGCCGUGGUGGGCAACAGUCAGAAAAGUGCGUGUUAGUCGAAGUGGUCUGGAACGGCCUGUCGUAGAGGGUGAGAGUCCCGUAGGCGAAAAUGCGUGCUCUGUUGUAGUGGGUGCCCGAGUAGCAGCGGGCCCGUGAAAUCUGCUGUGAAUCUGCCGGGACCACCCGGUAAGCCUGAAUACUCCCUGGUGACCGAUAGCGGACUAGUACCGUGAGGGAAAGGUGAAAAGUACCCCGGGA
This 429-nucleotide ribosomal RNA is filed under the name Streptomyces gardneri. RNAcentral describes it as "partial 23S ribosomal RNA". It matches the Rfam family "Bacterial large subunit ribosomal RNA", at positions 150 to 532 of the family's 2925-position model. Lineage: Bacteria; Bacillati; Actinomycetota; Actinomycetes; Kitasatosporales; Streptomycetaceae. The record is from RNAcentral.